This 143-nucleotide ribosomal RNA is filed under the name uncultured bacterium. RNAcentral's name for it is "partial 16S rRNA". It matches the Rfam family "Bacterial small subunit ribosomal RNA", at positions 353 to 511 of the family's 1533-position model. The record is from RNAcentral.
UAGGGGGAAUUUUCCGCAAUGGGCGAAAGCCUGACGGAGCAAUGCCGCGUGGAGGUGGAAGGCCUACGGGUCGUCAACUUCUUUUCUCGGAGAAGAAACAAUGACGGUAUCUGAGGAAUAAGCAUCGGCUAACUCUGUGCCAG